AUGUAGCCAAGUGGAUCAAGGCAGUGGAUUGUGAANCCCCCAUGCGCGA
Molecule: transfer RNA, 49 nt
Filed under: Chlamydacanthus euphorbioides
Lineage: Eukaryota; Viridiplantae; Streptophyta; Magnoliopsida; Lamiales; Acanthaceae
Description: partial tRNA-His
Source: RNAcentral